AGUACUCGAGUGGCGAACGGGUGAGUAACACGUGGGUAAUCUGCCCUGCACUCUGGGAUAAGCCUGGGAAACUGGGUCUAAUACUGGAUAUGACCCUUCUCCUUAUGGGGUUUGGUGGAAAGUUUUUCGGUGUAGGAUGAGCCCGCGGCCUAUCAGCUUGUUGGUGGGGUGAUGGCCUACCAAGGCGACGACGGGUAGCCGGCCUGAGAGGGUGAUCGGCCACAUUGGGACUGAGAUACGGCCCAG
Molecule: ribosomal RNA, 246 nt
Filed under: uncultured Actinomycetales bacterium
Lineage: Bacteria; Bacillati; Actinomycetota; Actinomycetes; Actinomycetales
Description: partial 16S ribosomal RNA
Rfam family: Bacterial small subunit ribosomal RNA
Source: RNAcentral